Long non-coding RNA from Lutzomyia longipalpis, 326 nucleotides. RefSeq lists it as uncharacterized. The transcript is spliced from 2 exons. NCBI's taxonomy places the organism in Eukaryota, Metazoa, Arthropoda, Insecta, Diptera, Psychodidae. The record is from RefSeq and is a predicted model, not a curated record.
UGUCAACAAUUCAAAGAAAAGAGCUCGUCGCAUAAAUUUGAAACGAAAAAAAAACUUAAAGAAAUGGAUGCCGCCAAUAAACUAAUCGCAGACAAAAUUGCCAAAAUGAAAGGAGACAAGGAGGAAUUCAAGCAAGAAUACAAGGAAGUUGGGGACCUCCUGGACGUGCUCCAGGAGAAGCUUGCAAAGGCCCAUCUCACGGAGAGAACAAAGGUCGUCUUGCGCAAGGAGAUCCAGAAGAAGACUUAUGCCUUACACACAUUCAAAUUUUAAAUUUAAAUAAGUAAAAUAAAUUCAAUUAAUAAAUAAAUUAAUAUUUCACUAUA